GUAACCCCGCUUCAGAAGUGUUGUAGUUACAUAGGGACAGUAUUUUGGACGCCGGAAGGCGAUAAAAGCCGACAAGGGUCUGCUUCGCCACAAGACGAGGCGAGCGGCGAGGCGCUUGCCUUUUUGAAUAAAGGCGCCAAUUAAUACCAAAAAUUAAAAAUAUUUAACUGCAUAUUUUAUCCAAAAUCUUAAUAGCAAUAACACAUAUUAGCAAAUAUUCAAUUCAAAAACUAAUAGUAGAUACUAAAAUGUCUAAAACUUUAAUGACCAAACAAUUCAAAAUACAAUAAACCAAAACUUUAAAAGUCUAUUCUUUCUUCAAAAUUAUCCAACCCUUGAGUGUCAUAAUUCCAUCCAAUGUCCCUCUUUUGCUAGCAACCACCAUUGAUUAUUAAAUUCAAUUAAUUCGCUGUUUAGGAAUAUUGAAAUAAAUAAUUAGGAAAAUGGAAAGAUUUUUUUUUAAAUUAACUGCCUAUAAUUAAAAAAAGUAAAUUACACAAAGCAGUAAGCAACUAAG
RNAcentral lists this unclassified non-coding RNA (517 nucleotides) under Hevea brasiliensis (rubber tree). The record is from RNAcentral. Lineage: Eukaryota; Viridiplantae; Streptophyta; Magnoliopsida; Malpighiales; Euphorbiaceae.